AGUACAGUGGCAGUACGCUAGCUUCCCAAGCUAGGAACGGCGGUUCGAUUCCGCUC
Molecule: transfer RNA, 56 nt
Filed under: Candidatus Parcubacteria bacterium
Lineage: Bacteria; Candidatus Parcubacteria
Description: tRNA-Gly
Rfam family: tRNA
About the family: Transfer RNA (tRNA) molecules are approximately 80 nucleotides in length. Their secondary structure includes four short double-helical elements and three loops (D, anti-codon, and T loops).
Source: RNAcentral